GCAAGUCGAGCGGUAACAGAGAGAAGCUUGCUACUUUGCUGACGAGGGGCGGACGGGUGAGAAAUGCUUGGAAACAUGCAUUGAGGGGGGGGACAACAGGUGGAAACGACUGCUAAUACCGCAUAAUGUAUACGGACCAAAGGGGGCUUCGGCUCUCGCCUUUAGAUUGGCCCAAGUGGGAUUAGCUAGUUGGUGAGGUAAUGGCUCACCAAGGCAACGAUCCCUAGCUGGUUUGAGAGGAUGAUC
Molecule: ribosomal RNA, 246 nt
Filed under: uncultured bacterium
Lineage: Bacteria
Description: partial 16S ribosomal RNA
Rfam family: Bacterial small subunit ribosomal RNA
Source: RNAcentral